CUCCCCAAGUUGCUUGACACCGGGACAAACCAGGAAGUUCACUGCGUCUGGUUCCUCCUCUUCUGCCAACUCACCCAGGCUACCGUUCCGUUUCCUGGCACAGAGUGGGGGGCGAGCUCCUCAGUACCCAGAGCGUCUGGUGUGUAGCCAAAGGCCUCCAGUUUAUUGGCCUGUAUGUUCAGUGUCAUGCUCAAGACAAGGGCCACCCUAUCACUUCACAUACCUCAAAUACAGAAAGUGCCUGGAAAUGUUGAUAAGGGGAGUUUCCCUGGACAAGCACUCUUCUCUUGUCUACUGUCAUGUUAGAUGUGCCUUUCCACCAUGAUGAUGAGGUCUCCCCAGCCAUGUGGAACUGUGAGUCCAUUAAACCUCUUUUUCCUUAUAAAUUA
Long non-coding RNA from Sapajus apella (tufted capuchin), 389 nucleotides. RefSeq lists it as uncharacterized. The transcript has 2 exons. NCBI's taxonomy places the organism in Eukaryota, Metazoa, Chordata, Mammalia, Primates, Cebidae. The record is from RefSeq and is a predicted model, not a curated record.